Molecule: unclassified non-coding RNA, 425 nt
Filed under: uncultured fungus
Lineage: Eukaryota; Fungi
Description: partial contains small subunit ribosomal RNA, internal transcribed spacer 1, and 5.8S ribosomal RNA
Rfam family: Eukaryotic small subunit ribosomal RNA (bases 1-73)
Source: RNAcentral
UCAAACUUGGUCAUUUAGAGGAAGUAAAAGUCGUAACAAGGUUUCCGUAGGUGAACCUGCGGAAGGAUCAUUAUCGAAAUCUCUAGAGGGGGUCGAGUGGAACGAGCGAAGUUUGAAAGUGUGAUAGCGUCCGAGAAACUGUAGCUGGUCCUUUCGAGGGCAUCGUGCACGUCUCGUGCUAUUCCUUUUCCUAGUCCUUGUUCUCUCUUCCCCUUCGUUUACACUUCACACCUGUGCACCUAUUGUAGGUUCCUCGCUCGAGGGACCUAUGUUUUUCAUCUACACCGAACGUAUGUCAUUAGAAUGUGUCUUGCAGUGUCGUUCGGCUUGUGCUUUCUUGCCUUGUCGUUUCGACCGCAAAUGGAAAUCAUAAUACAACUUUCAGCAACGGAUCUCUUGGCUCUCGCAUCGAUGAAGAACGCAGC